GACGAACGCUGGCGGCGUGCUUAACACAUGCAAGUCGAACGUGAUUUUUGUGGAAAUUCUUUCGGGAAUGGACAUGAAAUGAAAGUGGCGAACGGGUGAGUAACACGUGAGCAACCUACCUUACACAGGGGGAUAGCCGUUGGAAACGACGAUUAAUACCGCAUGAGACCACAGAAUCGCAUGAUAUAGGGGUCAAAGAUUUAUCGGUGUAAGAAGGGCUCGCGUCUGAUUAGCUAGUUGGAAGGGUAAAGGCCUACCAAGGCGACGAUCAGUAGCCGGUCUGAGAGGAUGAACGGCCACAUUGGAACUGAGACCCGGUCCAAACUCCUACGGGAGGCAGCAGUGGGGAAUAUUGCACAAUGGGGGGAACCCUGAUGCAGCGACGCCGCGUGAGGGAAGAAGGUUUUCGAAUCGUAAAGCUCUGUCCUAUGAGAAGAUAAUGACGGUAUCAUAGGAGGAAGCCCCGGCUAAAUACGUG
This 478-nucleotide ribosomal RNA is filed under the name uncultured bacterium. RNAcentral's name for it is "partial 16S ribosomal RNA". It matches the Rfam family "Bacterial small subunit ribosomal RNA", at positions 28 to 507 of the family's 1533-position model. The record is from RNAcentral.